Long non-coding RNA from Homo sapiens (human), 286 nucleotides. RefSeq lists it as uncharacterized. The transcript has 2 exons. The record is from RefSeq and is a predicted model, not a curated record. Lineage: Eukaryota; Metazoa; Chordata; Mammalia; Primates; Hominidae.
UUCCAGAUGGUAUUUCUGGAAGAACUAGGGAUACAACAGAGAACACAACAGAUAAAGUCACCACUCUCAUGUGGCAUAUAUUCCAGCGGGGAGGAGCAGACCGACAGCAGAAUGGGUCAACGUAAGGAACGGCAGAUAACGGGCUGGACGAACUGAAGAAAGAUGAACUCGGGCAGCAGCCAAGAACUGAGAGGAGGGGGUCAGCAGAUUCCCUAACUUCUCUCCUCCGCUACCUCUUGGAGUUUAUGUCCUCAUUUCAAUUAAACAAGCCUUUGUUAAAACCUUA